CUCAGGACGAACGCUGGCGGCGUGCCUAAUACAUGCAAGUCGAGCGGACGAAUCGAAAGCUUGCUUUUGAUUCGUUAGCGGCGGACGGGUGAGUAACACGUGGGCAACCUGCCCUGUAGACGGGGAUAACACCGAGAAAUCGGUGCUAAUACCGGAUAACACGAAAUGUCGCAUGACGUUUCGUUGAAAGACGGCGCAAGCUGUCGCUACAGGAUGGGCCCGCGGCGCAUUAGCUAGUUGGUGAGGUAACGGCUCACCAAGGCGACGAUGCGUAGCCGACCUGAGAGGGUGAUCGGCCACACUGGGACUGAGACAC
RNAcentral lists this ribosomal RNA (316 nucleotides) under Anoxybacillus flavithermus TNO-09.006. RNAcentral describes it as "bacterial SSU rRNA". It matches the Rfam family "Bacterial small subunit ribosomal RNA", at positions 23 to 327 of the family's 1533-position model. The record is from RNAcentral. Lineage: Bacteria; Bacillati; Bacillota; Bacilli; Caryophanales; Anoxybacillaceae.